GAGGAAGUGAGGCUGAAGGGUUGAUUAAUGAAGACAUUGGUCUAAUUGGACUAAUCAAGUCAUUGUCAAUUUCCUUGUUCCUGAGGAGCAGAGUUGGUCGGGAGCAGCAGUUCAAGGCAUCUUGGUUUACAGUGUACAUUACUCCAUCUCAGAGUCUGAAGCAAUUUUUUUGAACCCUCUGACCUGCUACAGAGACAAUGGAGCUUCUACAGAAUAAGGAACAGCAGUCGCAGAGCAAGGGUAUGCACUUUUUACCUCGGAACAUUGCUUUUUUUCCUGAGCAUGGAUAAACUUUGGGAAUUGUGCAAGUGGUUCUCAGCAUGCUUGCACAGAAUGUAAGUUUAGACAUACUCCACAGAGUACAGCAAAAGCUAAAUGGAAGUAUUUUGACACCAACCAGCAUUUGCGCAUCAUCAGCCACUAUAACUUAACUGUCUAUAUAAAGUAGCCCUUAAAUCACUUUUCUUGCAUUUUCCAGCACCAAAUGUGUAUCUACAUGGUUCUGUAACUAGCAAAGAAAAUUAUGUUGAAACAGUCACUGGGAAGUCAAACAGCAGUUCAGGUUUCAGUGCUGAUAUCUGAACUCUUUACCAGUAUGUCAGUUAAAAUAUCAAACAUAGGAUGAGAAAUCUAAAUUGCUACUUUCCAAAUAAGAAUUAUUGGAAAAUUAUAGCCAUUUAACCCCAAUGUUAUAAUUCAGAGUUAAGAUUUUAAAGUGGGAGAUUGUCAAAAGCACAAAGGGUAGUUAGGAACCCAAUUCCCAUUUGUAGUAUUCAGCAAUCACUCAGUAAUUAAGAUUCUUGCCAGAGAUGUAGUUUAUUCUGAAUCUUGUUCCAAUUUGAUAUAUCUGAAAAUCCCCCCAAAUGACUGACAUGAGUUUCUAGCAGUGCUGCAUUCUUGUAUUUGGUGGAACACAGCAGCAGCAGCUGAUAACUCAUGCUUCACUAUUGCCAUUCUGUAAUUUAACGGUGCUAAAUACAGAUCAGAGUCUGACUCUGCAGAUUUUCAGUAGGCUUUUAUUAGUCUGACACAA
This is a long non-coding RNA of Dermochelys coriacea (leatherback sea turtle), 1033 nucleotides long. RefSeq lists it as uncharacterized. The transcript is spliced from 3 exons. The record is from RefSeq and is a predicted model, not a curated record. Lineage: Eukaryota; Metazoa; Chordata; Testudines; Dermochelyidae.